GAUGACGCAUCAUGUCCAAAAAUGUCGCAAACAGAUGAUAUAACUAGUUGUAUGUUGAGAGGCUUCUUUUUUGUUUGUCUGAGAAAAGGAAGGACAGGAUUGGGGAGAAAGGCCCACCCUACUGAAAAUAACCAAGCUCAAGUACCGGAAUGAACCUCUCAAGACUUGAACCUGGGACCUCCUCCAAUGGAGGAAGGUUGUGGCCACUGCUCACCUGGUUUAUUGUUGAGAUUCCUUCAUUGAAGGUUCAUCUUGGUAAUGGAUGCGGUAGUUUUAUGAAGAGAGGAAGGGCAAGAUGCACGGAAAUAGUAAGCCCUAUCAAUGUGGUAGCAUAAUGGAAUAUUCAAUAUGUUAUCUAAAUGAUAGAUGAGGGAUCAGGCUUUUAGAUUUUGUUUUAUAAUUAAUAUGGGACAAUUUAUUUGAAGGGCCUUAUUUUCAUAUUUUUGUUACAAGAAGCCUUUAAUAGUCAUUAUGGGGUAGUAUGUAAUUAUGGGUUAUACAGAGUAGCUUUUUCAGUGGCAUUACAAAAUGUACACACAUUAAUUUUAGGCAAGUAGAUGUCCUGAACUUGAAUUUGUGACCACAUGAGUUAUGGUG
RNAcentral lists this long non-coding RNA (597 nucleotides) under Phoenix dactylifera (date palm). Its description in RNAcentral is "long non-coding RNA (PDAC_LNC006515)". The record is from RNAcentral. Lineage: Eukaryota; Viridiplantae; Streptophyta; Magnoliopsida; Arecales; Arecaceae.